UCCAACGAGAAGUGAUGCAGAACUGCAUUUCAAAGGCUUUUUUAAUAUUUUGCUGACAUCUGCAUCACUGAUUGAUUUUAUUUAUGUAAAUAUGGACUAAUUGAAUUAUCAUACAAAAUUGCGUUGAAUCCAUCUCUCUCCAUCAAGAUGUGUUUUGAUACAAUGAGCUAUUCAGUAUAUCAGGAUUGUGAAGAUGCAGUUUUUCACUUGUUUAUAGGCUUGAAUUGACUAGAUCACUGCUAAUGUUCACAUCAUUGGACAAAUAAUCUUCUAUUGUAUCUCUUAUUUGAGACAUUCAUUUUUUUCACUGACAUAACUACACAUCUCAAAAUACAUCCCUGCAAAGUACCGGCUUUGUGAAAGGAAAUUUAUUAAAAGAUCUCAAAGAAAAUUAAUGGACUACCCAAAGAUAUGACAUAUGUUGACUUGGUUGAAAACAUCAUUCCAAUAGAGAAAAGGAAGAAGAAAACCAAAGUUACCCCAAUGGAUACCCACUGCAAUGGUUUCCAAGGACAUCAUGUUUGCAGUGAAUUUGAACAGCUCAGUUUGUUUUUCAAGAGGUGACUUUCAGUUCCUUCAGGCUCAAGAAUCCCUUUGAAGCUGAUGGAUCAUGCUGUUGUUUAUUCAAUAAACAUUGAGCUCACAAUAUGCUUAUGGAAUGGCACUAGAAGCUGUGGGCAAUAAAAAAAAAAACAAUGAGUAAGAUGUGCUCCAUGACCUUAAGAAGUUUAUAAGCUCCUGUGGGUAAAAUAGUUUUUUUUAUUGGUACUGUAGGCUUAAUAACAUAUUAACCCAGUAUAUAGUAGGCAUUCAAUAAAUGUUGAAUAAGUUAAUGAAAUACUAGAACAAAACUGUCAUCUUUUUUUACAGAAUGCUAGAAGAAAGUUUAUUUUAAUUUGAACAUUGGAAACAGAAAAUAUUUCUCUUCUACUUCUCUAAAUGUUGAAACCUGACCUACCUUCAAGACUCAACUUAACCAUAAAUGUAGCAAUGAAAAAUCCAAGCUGAAGGCUUGGUGUGCAUAGGAAAGUGGAAAAGUCUAUCAUAUAAUUAAGAAAUGAUUAGCUGAUUGUGGAAUUAUGGGUGUAGGGAGAUGUCAGGCUGAGUUAGACCAAAUAUAGAAUCAUAAGACAAAGACAGGGCUGGCAUUGUGGAGUAGUUGGUAAAGCCACCACCUGAGACACCUGCACGUGUAUGGGAGCUGGUUUAUGUCCCAGCUGCUCCACUUCUGAUCCAGCUCCCUGUUAAUGGCUGAAAACAAAAAAAGCAGCUGAAGAUAGCCCAAGUGUUUGGGCCCCUGCCACCCAUGUGUGAGACCCAGAUGAAACUCUUGACUUUGGCCUGGUCCAGUCCUGGUUGUGGUGGCCAUUGGGAGAGUGAACGAGCAAAUCCAGCACAUGGAAGACCUCUCUCUCUCUCUCUCUCUCUCCCUCUCUCCCUCUCUCCCUCUCUCCCUCUCUCCCUCUCUUCCUCUCUCACUCUCCCUCUUCCUAUAUCUCUCUCCCCUUCUAUUUCUCUGUAACUCUGAUUUUCAGAUAAAUAAAUGAAUAAGCCUUAAAAACAAAGGUAAAGACAGAUUGAAAAAACAGUUUUUGAUAAACAAUACAUCUUUUAAGUAAAAAAAAAAAUUCAUCGUAAACAAAAGUGUCUUAUUUCCUUUUGAUGACAGUAUAGCACCAGGAAGAAAGGCUGUAGAAAUUAAAAGAAAUCAAAGAAAUUCAGUCUCUGAACUCUUCUAUAUAGAUUGAUAUGUAGGCUAUCUUGGAGAAAUUAGUUGUUAAGGUCAUUUUCUACUUUUCUUAUUUUUCUUGGUGGCAUGUUUUAGU
Non-coding RNA from Oryctolagus cuniculus (rabbit), 1826 nucleotides. NCBI's taxonomy places the organism in Eukaryota, Metazoa, Chordata, Mammalia, Lagomorpha, Leporidae. The record is from RefSeq and is a predicted model, not a curated record.